UUAUUUACUUUUAACAAGUCAUAGCAUAUGACCACUUAGAAAAUUAUUUCAUAUGACAUAUUUAAUUAUUUACAUAAAUAAUAAAUCAAUUAUAAAUUUAAUUUUUUUAAUUAUAACAAAAUCUUUUGAGAAAGUAUCUAGCAAAAUCUUAAUUAAGAAUUGAAAUAUCUUCUUAUAUAUUAAAACAGAAGUCACGACAUUUUUCAAGUGUGAUUUUUUUAAAGUUGGGCCAUCUUUAAAAAAUUUAUUAGAUGUAUAUUUAUGUUAUCCUAACAAUAAAACUAAUUCCUACUAAUUAUCAUAAAAUAUUCCAUAUAUCACAAUUAAUAGAUUUCCCACUUCCUACUUUAACUACACCGAAUAUUUACUUCCUACCGAUACUCCAUAUACAAACAUUUUUAUAUGACUUAAGAAAACAAGAUUAUAAUUGCUUUAUUAUAACUAUAUUGUUAAAAUUAAGCAUUUAUAGCUAGAUUCGCAUGUAGAUAUAUACAAUAUCAUUUUAUUAAGAGCAUCAUUAUCGCGGUUUUUUAAGUCUGUCUCUUAGAAUUAUUAGAAUUAAAAAAAAAGAAAAUUGGCUUAAAUGUGAAAAAACGUCCACAAGAGACCGGUUUUAUGAGACACGUGUCCCUUGAGCGUUCAUCUCUUCCACGACUUCUCUCGUUCUUCCGCGACUAUCUCCAAACCUCCUCUUAUGCUUCGAUCGAAUCUGUUUGCUAUGGUUUGUAUAAUCUGUUGCGGUUGAGAUUCAGAAAGUUUUGAUCUUUGUGUCUCACGUUUUCUUCUUACUCUUCUUCUUCUUCAAAUCUCGCGUGUCUGUUUUGUCUCAACCACAAAUCAUCCAAGAGACUCCCAAGCUCUUCUCUGUAUAGACCAAGCUUCACCGUUCCGACCAAAACCAGGAACACUUGUAAAGCCAAACCAUGGAAGAAUCUCGGUCUUGUCAUCAACUCUAGAAGAGUUCCAUCACGUCUUCUUCUUCUUCCAUUACUGAUCAAACAUGGCUGCUGCAGCUGCUGCUAUAGGUACUGCAGUCUCAUUUCCAUCAUCAAAGUCGUCGGCGUCUCUCCCCACAAAAACAUCCUUCGUUUCCCCUCAAAGGAUUUUCCUCAACAAAAAGUACACAAGAGGCGUUUAGUUAUGGGGGAAGAGUGAAGGCUCAGGUGACAACAGAGGUGCCAGUGAAAGAAGUCGAAGGAGUCAAAGAAAGAGGAAGAAGUAAUAGUUGUCAACAAAUUCAAACCAAAGGACCCUUACACUGGUCGAUGCCUCUUGAACAGCAGGAUCAUUGGCGAUGACGCUCCCGGUGAAACCUGGCACGUUGUCUUCACCACCGAAGGUACGCUUCUCCCCAACCACAAAUUCAAUAAUAGUCAGUCAUUAGAAUGUUUUUGAUUUUUAACUCGAGUUGUUUUUGAUUUCUAUCAUUUUCUUCAAACUUUUUAAUAAUUGUUUUUAAGAACCCUUAAUUUAGAGACUUGUAUUGGAGCACAUAAAUGUUCGGGUCUCUUAACAGGGUUUCUUAACACAUAUUUAUUGCUUAAAAGUAUUAAAAAAUAACUAAGAGACCCUAAAUGGGUAUUUGGGAUAAUGAUGCCCUAAGAUUAUACUAAGUUUAAACCAAACCUAUGCUAACCACGUAUGGAUUAUCGUAGUUUUAUGCAUUGCACGUAUGGAUUAGAAAAAUCAUACUAGAACCCUCAGUUUACCAAACUAUAUUUCUUUAGUUUAUACGAGAAUUUUGAAAUGGACCAUUAUCACAAUUGCAUUAUUUAUUAAGAUAUUCUAAAUUGCAUUCAGCAUAAAAAUCUUGAUGAUUCUAACAACUAUUUAACUGAAAUCCUAUAUUUCAUUUUACUAAAUACUCUUUCAUUGAAAAUAUAUGUGAUUUUAUAUAAAAUCUCAGUGAUUCUAACAGCUUUAAUAAAUCGCAAUUCUUAUAUCUUAAUAUUUUCAAGAUAUACCUCUUACAAAUAUUACAUACUAAUUCCUUUUUGAAAUAACUAACUUAAUUAGGAUUAAUAGUGUGUCUCGCUUUUUAAUAAAUUUUAAUUUGAAUAUUCAUUAUUUAUAAAUACAGAUAAAUGACUAAAAUAAUAGAAUAAUUUUAUGAAAACCAUAUAUAACUAUAAUAGGAUUUUGCGAGUUGUUCCAUCAAGCUUAUAAAUUACUAGGUAACCCUGCUUUAUUUUCAUAGAUAUAAAACUAUAUUCAUUUUAAAUAACAUAAAUUUUGGUAUAAAAUAUUAUAUAAAAAUUAAAAUUUAUAAUAUAUUUAAAAAUUAAAUAUACUUAUAUAUGAAUUAAAAUCAGUAAUCAUAUUAUAUAAUCAUACUAUUAAAACAAACCUGAUUGAAAUUAUAUAAUUUUAUUUUGUACACCAAAAGAAAACUAUCAACUCAUCUCAAAUUUUGAUUUCCAAAAAUAUAUUUCUAUGCAAAGUGGAAAACAAAUAAAAAAAUUUAAAGUAUCAUGUAUUAAUAACAUGUUAGUAAACUAUAUAAUACAUUUAUACAAAAACUAAAACUGAUAACACAUACUUGGUAUGAUUCAAACAGUCUUAUAACGUUCGUAUAGCGAAAAAUUUGACAAAAAUUCAAAUUUUAAACUCUGCGAUGUUAUUGCCUUAAUUUUUACCAACUAUCUAAAAAUCAAUUUAAAUGUAUUGUGCAAAUCUUUUUGUUAACAAUAUAUUGUAGAUGCAAUAUUUAAUAACAAAAUCCGGAAAUAUUUAUAUUGCUUCGUCUACAAGUUUUAUUUAAUAUCACAAUUAGUUAUAUUUUCCUUAUACUUACAGAAUUUUCGCUAACCUACUUUAAUUGGAUUAGCAUUAACUCUUACAAAUUAAAAAAAGUAUAUUCUAAUUACAAUAUACUCGCAUAAUAUUCCUUAUUCCACAAAGUAACAUAUUUAUCAAAUCUUUAAAAUAUUAUGACCUACAUUUGCGUAACCUAAAUCCGCUGUACCACCUACCAAUUAUAAAUAUAGCAUCAGAAUACCACGAUAUUCAUCAAACCUAGGGAUACAGAAAAAAAAUGGCGAACAAUAUGCGGCUAACUUUCUUGAACGAAUCAAACCACGCAAGAAUGCAUGUCGCAUCCAAGUGAAGAUCAUUCAUACAUGGAGACAUUUCAUGAAAGACGUUGGAGAAUCUAUGGAACUAAUCCUAUGUGAUGCAAAUGGAACAAAAAUCCAUGCCUCUGUGUAAUAAGACAUACAUUGCUGAAUUUGCCAAACAUGUCUGUCUUGGAGUAUAUAUGUCUAAGUAUAUAUUUAAUCUUUUUAGUGGGCAAAGAUUAGGGUGCUGCCUGUCGGGAAAUUUUGCAGAGAAUCUUCACACAGCUAGCCAGUAAACAGAAGGCAUGGUAAUAUGUCUUCUACGAUUUGCUAAGAUUGGGCAAUAUAGAGGUGAAGUUCAAAUCUCAAAUGCUUAUGAUGCAAGUCAGAUGUUUGUCAAUCCUGAAAUACCAGAAGCAGGUUACCGGUUCAUAUCGGAGAGGAACGAGUCUGUGGUGUCCUCCUGCGGUCGCUGAAUCAGAAUCGAUCGGAGAAGACUUUCAUUUUUAUUUUUGCUUUGUUCGAUAUGUCCAGAUGUUGUCGUAACAUAGAAGAUCACGCAUGGGCUUGGGCCUCGAUAUAAGAAUUGAAUUUGUUAACAUUUAAACUCAUUUUGCUAAAACCCAAUAUUUAAAAAACCCAUUCUUUCAAAACCCAUUUUAAUAAAUCAUAAAUUAAAAAGUUAGAUUUUAAUUUUCAAGUAUAAUUUAAAUAUUGACUAUGUUUAGAAAAAAAAAGGUUUAUAAUAACUACAGAUUAAAUCCCUUUUAUAUAUUUGGUUUUCUAUUUUGAAUAUGAUAUAUAUAUAUAUAUACAUAUAUAUAUAUAUAAAUGUGUGCAACAAUCUUUCCAAUAGUGACAGAUAUAAUUAUAUUUCAUAAUUUCUAUAUUAUCACUACAAGAAAACACAUGCUUUACGAGGAAAUUUAACGAGGAAAAACAAUCCUCGUAAAUUUACGUCGAUUUUACGAGGAAUUUACGUGGAAAACUAAAGUCAUCGUUAUUUCCUCGUAACGUAACAACAAAAGUAAUAAAUAGAGAUUUCAGACUUAUUAUUUAUUUAAGUUAUUUCGGAAAAAUACGGAUGUUACAGUGUGUUUAUCAUGUAGUUUGAAAUUCAGUUUUCAAUGUAAUAAAUCAAAACUUGAUGUUUAUGAAACUUAACAAAUCUAAUAUUUUGAGUGAAAGAUAU
Molecule: long non-coding RNA, 4248 nt
Organism: Brassica napus (rape)
Lineage: Eukaryota; Viridiplantae; Streptophyta; Magnoliopsida; Brassicales; Brassicaceae
Exons: 6
Source: RefSeq, a predicted model, not a curated record